GCGAAGGUGGCGGAAUUGGUAGACGCGCUAGCUUCAGGUUGUUAGUGUUCUUACGGACGUGGGGGUUCAAGUCCCCCCCCUCGCACCA
Molecule: transfer RNA, 88 nt
Filed under: Escherichia coli
Lineage: Bacteria; Pseudomonadati; Pseudomonadota; Gammaproteobacteria; Enterobacterales; Enterobacteriaceae
Description: tRNA-Leu (CAG) (tRNA-Leu-CAG-4-1)
Rfam family: tRNA
About the family: Transfer RNA (tRNA) molecules are approximately 80 nucleotides in length. Their secondary structure includes four short double-helical elements and three loops (D, anti-codon, and T loops).
Source: RNAcentral